RNAcentral lists this ribosomal RNA (675 nucleotides) under Pleurotus djamor. RNAcentral's name for it is "eukaryotic LSU rRNA". The stretch from base 254 to 407 matches the Rfam family "5.8S ribosomal RNA". Lineage: Eukaryota; Fungi; Basidiomycota; Agaricomycetes; Agaricales; Pleurotaceae. The record is from RNAcentral.
AAGAAAGAAUCAAAGCUUUUGAAGUUGUUUUGCUGGGUCUCUAGGGACAUUGUGCACGCUUCAUUAGUUUCCACGUUCAUACCCCUGUGCACCUUUGAUAGAUUUCGGUUUGGGUUAUCCUUUGGUUUUUUUCUUAAUUGGAAAGGCCUUUGGUUUCCUUAACACGACUUCUAUACUAUACCACACACCAAAUGUAUGUUUUAUUAAUGAAUGGUUUAUAAUAACAAGGCCAUGAGCCUUAUAAACUUAAUACAACUUUCAACAACGGAUCUCUUGGCUCUCGCAUCGAUGAAGAACGCAGCGAAAUGCGAUAAGUAAUGUGAAUUGCAGAAUUCAGUGAAUCAUCGAAUCUUUGAACGCACCUUGCGCCCUUUGGUAUUCCGAAGGGCAUGCCUGUUUGAGUGUCAUUAAAUUCUCAAACUUCUAUGACUUUAUUGUUGUAGCUGUUUGGAUUGCUGGGGGUUGCUGGCGUCUUCUUUGAAGUCGGCUCCUCUUAAAUGCAUUAGCGGGACUUUGUUGCCUCUGCGCAUAGUGUGAUAAUUAUCUACGCUAGACGCAUGCAAUUCUUAUAUUGUCCAGCUUUCUAAUCGUCUCAAGGGACAAUUACUUUGACAAUUUGACCUCAAAUCAGGUAGGACUACCCGCUGAACUUAAGCAUAUCAAUAAGCGGAGGAA